RNAcentral lists this ribosomal RNA (494 nucleotides) under uncultured bacterium. Its description in RNAcentral is "partial 16S ribosomal RNA". It matches the Rfam family "Bacterial small subunit ribosomal RNA", at positions 28 to 507 of the family's 1533-position model. The record is from RNAcentral.
GACGAACGCUGGCGGCGCGCUUAACACAUGCAAGUCGAACGGAAAGGCCUGCUUUCCCUUGUGGAUUGCGGGUACUCGAGUGGCGAACGGGUGAGUAACACGUGAGUGAUCUGCCCCCAACUUGGGUAUAAGCCUGGGAAACUGGGUCUAAUUCCCGAUAGGACUGCAGGGUGGUGCCUGUGGUGGAAAACGAUUUUCUAGUGGUUGGGGAUGAGCUCGCGGCCUAUCAGCUUGUUGGUGGGGUAAUGGCCUACCAAGGCGGCGACGGGUAGCCGGCCUGGGAGGGUGGACGGCAACAUUGGGACUGAGAUACGGCCCAGACUCCUACGGGAGGCAGCAGUGGGGAAUAUUGCACAAUGGGCGGAAGCCUGAGGCAGCGACGCCGCGUGGGGGAUGACGGCCUUCGGGUUGUAAACUCCUUUCGACCGCGAGGAAGCCACCUGGUUGGAAGGGUGGUGACGGUAGUGGUAGAAGAAGCACCGGCUAACUACGUG